UACAAGAUGGAUGAGGGCAAAACCUACGUAAACGUGAGGUUUGCAGAAACGGAUGCACAGUCUCCUUCCAACGCUGAACCUGAUGUAUCGUACGUGGAUCUUAAUCUCAGGACCAUCUCUGUUCCCCGGCUCCGGACAGGUGGAGACGGUCUGAUCUCCACCUAUGCAGAACUGAACUUUUCGAAAGCCGAACCCCUCAUUGCUGAGUUUGAGGAUCACCGCAACGUCUCGC
Hypanus sabinus (Atlantic stingray) is the source of this 232-nucleotide long non-coding RNA. RefSeq lists it as uncharacterized. The transcript has 3 exons. NCBI's taxonomy places the organism in Eukaryota, Metazoa, Chordata, Chondrichthyes, Myliobatiformes, Dasyatidae. The record is from RefSeq and is a predicted model, not a curated record.